This 253-nucleotide ribosomal RNA is filed under the name uncultured bacterium. RNAcentral describes it as "partial 16S ribosomal RNA". It matches the Rfam family "Bacterial small subunit ribosomal RNA", at positions 524 to 776 of the family's 1533-position model. The record is from RNAcentral.
UACGUAGGGUGCGAGCGUUGUCCGGAAUUAUUGGGCGUAAAGAGCUUGUAGGCGGUUUGUCGCGUCUGCCGUGAAAAUCCGGGGCUCAACCCCGGACUUGCGGUGGGUACGGGCAGACUAGAGUGUGGUAGGGGAGACUGGAAUUCCUGGUGUAGCGGUGAAAUGCGCAGAUAUCAGGAGGAACACCGGUGGCGAAGGCGGGUCUCUGGGCCGAAACUGACGCUGAGGAGCGAAAGCGUGGGGAGCAAACAGG